GCCCGAAUGGUGUAGUCUGGCCAAUCAUUUUGCCCUCUCGAGGCAAAGACCCGAGUUCAAAUCUCGGUUCGGGCA
Molecule: transfer RNA, 75 nt
Filed under: Candidatus Nanohaloarchaea archaeon
Lineage: Archaea; Methanobacteriati; Methanobacteriota; Candidatus Nanohaloarchaea
Description: tRNA-Glu
Rfam family: tRNA
About the family: Transfer RNA (tRNA) molecules are approximately 80 nucleotides in length. Their secondary structure includes four short double-helical elements and three loops (D, anti-codon, and T loops). Further hydrogen bonds mediate the characteristic L-shaped molecular structure. tRNAs have two regions of fundamental functional importance: the anti-codon, which is responsible for specific mRNA codon recognition, and the 3' end, to which the tRNAs corresponding amino acid is attached (by aminoacyl-tRNA synthetases). tRNAs cope with the degeneracy of the genetic code in two manners: having more than one tRNA (with a specific anti-codon) for a particular amino acid; and 'wobble' base-pairing, i.e. permitting non-standard base-pairing at the 3rd anti-codon position.
Source: RNAcentral